AAUCCCCAGAUUCCCUAUCCCUCAGAUCUAAACAUUGGUCUGAGUGAGUAAAACAGGAGAAAAAGUAAAACUGAAGUUGAUACUGAAACUGGCUGUAAUGACAUACAAGUUCAUUUCAAACAUAA
This 125-nucleotide small nucleolar RNA is filed under the name Echinops telfairi (small Madagascar hedgehog). RNAcentral's name for it is "Small nucleolar RNA SNORA61 (ENSETEG00000024691.1)". Lineage: Eukaryota; Metazoa; Chordata; Mammalia; Afrosoricida; Tenrecidae. The record is from RNAcentral.